This 508-nucleotide ribosomal RNA is filed under the name uncultured bacterium. Its description in RNAcentral is "partial 16S ribosomal RNA". It matches the Rfam family "Bacterial small subunit ribosomal RNA", at positions 30 to 523 of the family's 1533-position model. The record is from RNAcentral.
AUUGAACGCUGGCGGCAGGCCUAACACAUGCAAGUCGAGCGGCAGCGGGAAAGUAGCUUGCUACUUUUGCCGGCGAGCGGCGGACGGGUGAGUAAUGCCUGGGAAAUUGCCCAGUCGAGGGGGAUAACAGUUGGAAACGACUGCUAAUACCGCAUACGCCCUACGGGGGAAAGCAGGGGACCUUCGGGCCUUGCGCGAUUGGAUAUGCCCAGGUGGGAUUAGCUAGUUGGUGAGGUAAUGGCUCACCAAGGCGACGAUCCCCAGCUGGUCUGAGAAGGUGAUCAGCCAAACUGGAACUGAGACACGGUCCAGACUCCUACGGGAGGCAGCAGUGGGGAAUAUUGCACAAUGGGGGAAACCCUGAUGCAGCCAUGCCGCGUGUGUGAAGAAGGCCUUCGGGUUGUAAAGCACUUUCAGCGAGGAGGAAAGGUUGAUGCCUAAUACGUAUCAACUGUGACGUUACUCGCAGAAGAAGCACCGGCUAACUCCGUGCCAGCCGCCGCGGUAA